GGGUUGUGAGGUUAAGCGACUAAGCGUACACGGUGGAUGCCCUGGCAGUCAGAGGCGAUGAAGGACGUGCUAAUCUGCGAAAAGCGUCGGUAAGGUGAUAUGAACCGUUAUAACCGGCGAUGUCCGAAUGGGGAAACCCAGUGCAAUUCGUUGCACUAUCGUUAACUGAAUACAUAGGUUAACGAGGCGAACCGGGGGAACUGAAACAUCUAAGUACCCCGAGGAAAAGAAAUCAACCGAGAUUCCCCAGUAGCGGCGAGCGAACGGGGAGCAGCCCAGAGUCUGAAUCAGCUUGUGUGUUAGUGGAACGGUCUGGAAAGUCCGACGGUACAGGGUGAUAGUCCCGUACACCAAAAUGCACAGGCUGUGAACUCGAAGAGUAGGGCGGGACACGUGGUAUCCUGUCUGAAUAUGGGGGACCAUCCUCCAAGGCUAAAUACUCCUGACUGACCGAUAGUGAACCAGUACCGUGAGGGAAAGGCGAAAAGAACCCCGGCGAGGGGAGUGAAAAAGAACCUGAAACCGUGUACGUACAAGCAGUGGGAGCACCUUCGGGUGUGACUGCGUACCUUUUGUAUAAUGGGUCAGCGACUUAUAUUCUGUAGCAAGGUUAACCGUAUAGGGGAGCCGCAGGGAAACCGAGUCUUAACUGGGCGUUAAGUUGCAGGGUAUAGACCCGAAACCCGGUGAUCUAGCCAUGGGCAGGUUGAAGGUUGGGUAACACUAACUGGAGGACCGAACCGACUAAUGUUGAAAAAUUAGCGGAUGACUUGUGGCUGGGGUGAAAGGCCAAUCAAACCGGGAGAUAGCUGGUUCUCCCCGAAAGCUAUUUAGGUAGCGCCUCGUGAAUUCAUCUUCGGGGGUAGAGCACUGUUUCGGCUAGGGGUCAUCCCGACUUACCAACCCGAUGCAAACUACGAAUACCGAAGAAUGUUAUCACGGGAGACACACGGCGGGUGCUAACGUCCGUCGUGAAGAGGGAAACAACCCAGACCGCCAGCUAAGGUCCCAAAGUCAUGGUUAAGUGGGAAACGAUGUGGGAAGGCACAGACAGCCAGGAUGUUGGCUUAGAAGCAGCCAUCAUUUAAAGAAAGCGUAAUAGCUCACUGGUCGAGUCGGCCUGCGCGGAAGAUGUAACGGGGCUAAACCAUGCACCGAAGCUGCGGCAGCGACACUAUGUGUUGUUGGGUAGGGGAGCGUUCUGUAAGCCUGCGAAGGUGACCUGUGAGGGUUGCUGGAGGUAUCAGAAGUGCGAAUGCUGACAUAAGUAACGAUAAAGCGGGUGAAAAGCCCGCUCGCCGGAAGACCAAGGGUUCCUGUCCAACGUUAAUCGGGGCAGGGUGAGUCGACCCCUAAGGCGAGGCCGAAAGGCGUAGUCGAUGGGAAACAGGUUAAUAUUCCUGUACUUGGUGUUACUGCGAAGGGGGACGGAGAAGGCUAUGUUAGCCGGGCGACGGUUGUCCCGGUUUAAGCAUGUAGGCUGAUUGUCCAGGCAAAUCCGGAUAAUCAAGGCUGAGGUGUGAUGACGAGGCACUACGGUGCUGAAGUAACAAAUGCCCUGCUUCCAGGAAAAGCCUCUAAGCAUCAGGUAACAUCAAAUCGUACCCCAAACCGACACAGGUGGUCAGGUAGAGAAUACCAAGGCGCUUGAGAGAACUCGGGUGAAGGAACUAGGCAAAAUGGUGCCGUAACUUCGGGAGAAGGCACGCUGGUGUGUAGGUGAAGCCCCUGCGGGUGGAGCUGAGACCAGUCGAAGAUACCAGCUGGCUGCAACUGUUUAUUAAAAACACAGCACUGUGCAAACACGAAAGUGGACGUAUACGGUGUGACGCCUGCCCGGUGCCGGAAGGUUAAUUGAUGGGGUUAUCCGUAAGGAGAAGCUCUUGAUCGAAGCCCCGGUAAACGGCGGCCGUAACUAUAACGGUCCUAAGGUAGCGAAAUUCCUUGUCGGGUAAGUUCCGACCUGCACGAAUGGCGUAAUGAUGGCCAGGCUGUCUCCACCCGAGACUCAGUGAAAUUGAACUCGCUGUGAAGAUGCAGUGUACCCGCGGCAAGACGGAAAGACCCCGUGAACCUUUACUAUAGCUUGACACUGAACAUUGAGCCUUGAUGUGUAGGAUAGGUGGGAGGCUUUGAAGCGUGGACGCCAGUCUGCGUGGAGCCAACCUUGAAAUACCACCCUUUAAUGUUUGAUGUUCUAACGUUGGCCCCUUACCGGGGUUGCGGACAGUGUCUGGUGGGUAGUUUGACUGGGGCGGUCUCCUCCCAAAGCGUAACGGAGGAGCACGAAGGUUAGCUAAUCCUGGUCGGACAUCAGGAGGUUAGUGCAAUGGCAUAAGCUAGCUUGACUGCGAGCGUGACGGCGCGAGCAGGUGCGAAAGCAGGUCAUAGUGAUCCGGUGGUUCUGAAUGGAAGGGCCAUCGCUCAACGGAUAAAAGGUACUCCGGGGAUAACAGGCUGAUACCGCCCAAGAGUUCAUAUCGACGGCGGUGUUUGGCACCUCGAUGUCGGCUCAUCACAUCCUGGGGCUGAAGUAGGUCCCAAGGGUAUGGCUGUUCGCCAUUUAAAGUGGUACGCGAGCUGGGUUUAGAACGUCGUGAGACAGUUCGGUCCCUAUCUGCCGUGGGCGCUGGAGAAUUGAGGGGGGCUGCUCCUAGUACGAGAGGACCGGAGUGGACGCAUCACUGGUGUUCGGGUUGUCAUGCCAAUGGCACUGCCCGGUAGCUAAAUGCGGAAGAGAUAAGUGCUGAAAGCAUCUAAGCACGAAACUUGCCCCGAGAUGAGUUCUCCCUGAGACUUUAAGUCUCCUGAAGGAACGUUGAAGACGACGACGUUGAUAGGCCGGGUGUGUAAGCGCAGCGAUGCGUUGAGCUAACCGGUACUAAUGAACCGUGAGGCUUAACCUUACAACGCCGAAG
RNAcentral lists this ribosomal RNA (2918 nucleotides) under Klebsiella pneumoniae. RNAcentral's name for it is "23S ribosomal RNA". It matches the Rfam family "Bacterial large subunit ribosomal RNA". The record is from RNAcentral. Lineage: Bacteria; Pseudomonadati; Pseudomonadota; Gammaproteobacteria; Enterobacterales; Enterobacteriaceae.